Molecule: ribosomal RNA, 1628 nt
Filed under: metagenome
Description: bacterial LSU rRNA
Rfam family: Bacterial large subunit ribosomal RNA
Source: RNAcentral
UCAAGUCGUUCUGUAUUUUUUUUUUUUAAGUAUUUUUUUUUUUUCAAGCAGAAGACGGCAUACGAGAUCAUGCCUAGUCUCGUGGGCUCGGAGAUGUGUAUAAGAGACAGGGGGGACCACCCCCCAAGGCUAAAUACUACUUAGUGACCGAUAGCGCAUAGUACUGUGAAGGAAAGGUGAAAAGAACCCCGGGAGGGGAGUGAAAGAGAACCUGAAACCCUGUGUUUACAAGCUGUGGAAGAACUUUAAAGUUCAACCGCGUACUUUUUGUAGAACGGUCCGGCGAGUUACUCUUACUGGCAAGGUUAAGGACUAAAGGUCUGGAGCCGAAGGGAAACCAAGUCUUAAUAGGGCGUUAUAGUCAGUGUGAGUAGACCCGAAACCGGGUGACCUACCCAUGUCCAGGAUGAAGUUGCCGUAAAAGGCAAUGGAGGUCCGAACACACAUCCGUUGAAAAGGGUGGUGAUGAGGUGUGGGUAGCGGAGAAAUUCCAAUCGAACCCGGAGAUAGCUGGUUCUCCUCGAAAUAGCUUUAGGGCUAGCCUCAAUUUAGUCUUGCGGAGGUAGAGCACUGAAUAUCCUAGGGGGCGUCAAAGCUUACCGAAGAUUAUCAAACUCCGAAUGCCGUUAAGAUGAUGAUUGGGAGUCAGACUGCACGAGAUAAGUUGGGUAGUCAAAAGGGAAACAGCCCAGACCUCCAGCUAAGGUCCCAAAGUGAGUGUUAAGUGGAAAAGGAUGUGGGAUUUCGAAGACAACUAGGAUGUUGGCUUAGAAGCAGCCAUACAUUCAAAGAGUGCGUAAUAGCUCACUAGUCGAGAGGUCCUGCGCCGAAAAUGUCCGGGGCUAAACACUACACCGAAGCUGAGGAAUGUGUAAACAUUGGUAGAGGAGCAUUCUUAACAGCGACGAAGCUGUACCGUAAGGAGCAGUGGAGUGUUAAGAAGAGAGAAUGCCGGAAUGAGUAGCGAGAGUGAGGUGAGAAUCCUCACGGCCGAAUAUCUAAGGUUUCCAGGGUAAAGCUGAUCUGCCCUGGGUAAGUCGGGACCUAAGGCGAGGUCGAAAGACGUAGUCGAUGGAUAACAGGUUGAAAUUCCUGUACUGCAAUAUAUCAGAACUGUGGGGACACAGACAGAGAGCCUGAGCCGGGAGUGGAAAUACCGGUCUAAGCGAGGUAGGAGUGCAUUAGGCAAAUCCGGUGCACAAUCUGAAGACGUGAAUGGGAGCGAAAUUAUAAGUAGCGAAGCAGGUGAGCUGGCUGUCAAGAAAAGCCGCUAUUGUGUAUAUUGUACCCGUACCGUAAACCGACACAGGUGGAUGAGGAGAGAAUCCUAAGGCCGACGGAAGAAGUAUUGUUAAGGAACUCGGCAAAAUGGCCCCGUAACUUCGGGAUAAGGGGUGCCUCCUUCAGGGGAGGCCGCAGAGAAUUGGCCCAAGCAACUGUUUAGCAAAAACACAGGUCUAUGCGAAACCGUAAGGUGAGGUAUAUGGGCUGACGCCUGCCCGGUGCUGGAAGGUUAAGGGGAGAGGUUAGACGCAAGUCGAAGCUUUAAACUUAAGCCCCAGUAAACGGCGGCCGUAACUAUAACGGUCCUAAGGUAGCGAAAUUCCUUGUCGGGUAAGUUCCGACCC